Molecule: small RNA, 79 nt
Filed under: Belliella baltica DSM 15883
Lineage: Bacteria; Pseudomonadati; Bacteroidota; Cytophagia; Cytophagales; Cyclobacteriaceae
Description: Flavo-1 RNA
Rfam family: Flavo-1 RNA
Source: Rfam by way of RNAcentral
CUAUAGCCCCAAUUGUGGUGGAAAUCCCUUUUUUGAAAAGAACAAUCAAAAAAGACUGUAACUGAAAGCAGGAAAUAGC